Molecule: ribosomal RNA, 325 nt
Filed under: uncultured eukaryote
Lineage: Eukaryota
Description: partial 18S ribosomal RNA
Rfam family: Eukaryotic small subunit ribosomal RNA
Source: RNAcentral
CCCCUAGAUGUUCUGGGCCGCACGCGCGCUACACUGAACAGUUCAACAAGUCUUAACCUUGGCCGAUAGGUCUGGGUAAUCUUUGAACGCUGUUCGUGAUUGGGAUAGACCUUUGCAAUUAUGGGUCUUCAACGAGGAAUUCCUAGUAAACGCAAGUCAUCAGCUUGCAUUGAUUACGUCCCUGCCCUUUGUACACACCGCCCGUCGCACCUACCGAUUGAAUGGUCCGGUGAAUACUUCGGACCGGUUACUUGGUUGGUUCGCUAACCUUGUGACUGGAAAGUCGAGUGAACCUUAUUGCUUAGAGGAAGGAGAAGUCGUAACA